Tachysurus fulvidraco (yellow catfish) is the source of this 238-nucleotide long non-coding RNA. RefSeq lists it as uncharacterized. NCBI's taxonomy places the organism in Eukaryota, Metazoa, Chordata, Actinopteri, Siluriformes, Bagridae. The transcript has 3 exons. The record is from RefSeq and is a predicted model, not a curated record.
GAAGGAGACAUGACCUCCAACAUGAGUGUGUCUGGAAAACAGGACUUAAAGAAAGACGAGAGAAUGAUGGAGGGAAAGAGAUCAGACUCACCAGAACCCAGCUGUGUGUCCAUGAAGAGUGACCGGUCAAUGGGACGUCCAGAUACCUUCAGAGACAGAGACAGUUCUACUGAUGUGAGACCACAAAAGAAGAAAUCACAGAAAUCAAACAUCAGCAAAAAUGAUCUGGACUCCAUGU